This 279-nucleotide ribosomal RNA is filed under the name uncultured bacterium. RNAcentral describes it as "partial 16S ribosomal RNA". It matches the Rfam family "Bacterial small subunit ribosomal RNA", at positions 506 to 784 of the family's 1533-position model. The record is from RNAcentral.
UGCCAGCCGCCGCGGUAAUACGGAGGGUGCAAGCGUUGUUCGGAAUUAUUGGGCGUAAAGCGCGUGUAGGCGGUUCGUUAAGUCUGAUGUGAAAGCCCGGGGCUCAACCCCGGAAGUGCAUUGGAAACUGGCGAACUUGAGGAUAGGCGGAGAAAACGGAACUCCACAUGUAGCGGUGAAAUGCGUAGAUAUGUGGAAGAACACCCGUGGCGAAAGCGGUUUUCUAGCUUAUUCCUGACGCUCAGGCCCGAAAGCUAGGGGAGCAAACAGGAUUAGAUA